RNAcentral lists this transfer RNA (90 nucleotides) under Anaerofustis stercorihominis. Its description in RNAcentral is "tRNA-Ser". It matches the Rfam family "tRNA". Rfam says of the family: Transfer RNA (tRNA) molecules are approximately 80 nucleotides in length. Lineage: Bacteria; Bacillati; Bacillota; Clostridia; Eubacteriales; Eubacteriaceae. The record is from RNAcentral.
GGAGAGAUACUCAAAAGGUUAAGAGGUCAGUUUGCUAAACUGAUAGGUCGAGUCAGCGACGUCAGGGUUCAAAUCCCUGUCUCUCCGCCA